UACGUAGGGGGCAAGCGUUGUCCGGAGUUACUGGGCGUAAAGCGCACGCAGGCGGUCUCUUAAGUUUGGAGUGACAGUUGGUGGCUUAACUGCCAAAGUGCUUCGAAAACUGAGAGACUUGAGGGCUUCAGAGGGACACGGAAUCCGGGUGGAGUGGUGAAAUGCGUAGAGAUCCGGAGGAACACCAAAGGCGAAGGCAGUGUCCUGGGGAGUACCUGACGCUCGAGGUGCGAAAGCCAGGGGAGCGAACGGG
RNAcentral lists this ribosomal RNA (253 nucleotides) under uncultured bacterium. Its description in RNAcentral is "partial 16S ribosomal RNA". It matches the Rfam family "Bacterial small subunit ribosomal RNA", at positions 524 to 776 of the family's 1533-position model. The record is from RNAcentral.